This 591-nucleotide long non-coding RNA is filed under the name Rattus norvegicus (Norway rat). RNAcentral's name for it is "long non-coding RNA NONRATT005325". The record is from RNAcentral. Lineage: Eukaryota; Metazoa; Chordata; Mammalia; Rodentia; Muridae.
GAUAUUCGAGAUUGUUCCGGACCCUUAAGUGAGCUUACCGAACUGAACACUAAGGUGAAAGAAAAGUUUCAACAGUUAAAACACAGGAUCCAGGAGCUCGAGCAGUCAGCAAAGGAGCAAGACAAGGAGUCGGAGAAGCAGCUUCUACUUCAGGAAGUGGAGAACCACAAAAAGCAGAUGCUCAGCAACCAGACCUCAUGGCGGAAAGCCAAUCUUACCUGCAAGCUUGCCAUCGACAACCUGGAGAAAGCAGAACUUCUGCAAGGAGGAGACUCCUUAAGGCAGAGGUAUCGUCCGUAUGUCCUUCUGGGCUCUGACAUCUCAACACCACGGGGGGUGGACUUUUGUUUUCAUAACAUUUGUACUUUAUGUUUUUAUAUAAGUAAGUAAUUGUCUUUUCUGUUUUGAUACUGGGUCUCGUACAUCCCAGUCUGGUCUCAAACUUACUGUGAUCUUAUGUGUGCACCACCACACCAAGUUCGUGCAGUUCUGGAGAUCUAACCAAGGGCUUUGUGCAUACAAGACAAGCAUCUACCAACCAAGUUCCAUUCCCAGCCCUGACUAGAUUUGAUUAAACUUGGUUUGGGGUUU